CCUACGUGAGGCUGCAGUGGGGAAUAUUGGACAAUGGGCGAAAGCCUGAUCCAGCCAUGCCGCGUGUGUGAAGAAGGCCUUCGGGUUGUAAAGCACUUUCAGUGGGGAAGAAAGCCUUGGGGCUAAUACCCUCGAGGAAGGACAUCACCCACAGAAGAAGCACCGGCUAACUCCGUGCCAGCAGCCGCGGUAAUACGGAGGGUGCGAGCGUUAAUCGGAAUUACUGGGCGUAAAGCGCGCGUAGGCGGUCUGAUAAGCCGGUUGUGAAAGCCCCGGGCUCAACCUGGGAACGGCAUCCGGAACUGUCAGGCUAGAGUGCUGGAGAGGAAGGUAGAAUUCCCGGUGUAGCGGUGAAAUGCGUAGAGAUCGGGAGGAAUACCAGUGGCGAAGGCGGCCUUCUGGACUGACACUGACGCUGAGGUGCGAAAGCGUGGGUAGCAAACAGGAUUAGAUACCCCAGUAGUC
RNAcentral lists this ribosomal RNA (465 nucleotides) under Vreelandella stevensii. Its description in RNAcentral is "partial 16S ribosomal RNA". It matches the Rfam family "Bacterial small subunit ribosomal RNA", at positions 338 to 795 of the family's 1533-position model. The record is from RNAcentral. Lineage: Bacteria; Pseudomonadati; Pseudomonadota; Gammaproteobacteria; Oceanospirillales; Halomonadaceae.